RNAcentral lists this ribosomal RNA (406 nucleotides) under uncultured bacterium. RNAcentral's name for it is "partial 16S ribosomal RNA". It matches the Rfam family "Bacterial small subunit ribosomal RNA", at positions 29 to 527 of the family's 1533-position model. The record is from RNAcentral.
AUUGAACGCUGGCGGCAGGCCUAACACAUGCAAGUCGAACGAGUGGCGGACGGGUGAGUAAUGUCUGGGAAACUGCCUGAUGGAGGGGGAUAACUACUGGAAACGGUAGCUAAUACCGCAUACCAUCGGAUGUGCCCAGAUGCGAUUAGCUAGUAGGUGGGGUAAAGGCUCACCUAGGCGACGAUCCCUAGCUGGUCUGAGAGGAUGACAAGCCACAUGGGAACUGAGACACGGUCCAGAGUCCUACGGGAGGCAGCAGUGGGGAAUAUUGCACAAUGGGCGCAAGGCUGAUGCAGCCAGGCCGCGUGUAUGAAGAAGGCCUUGGGGUUGUAAAGUACUUUCAGCGGGGAGGCGGUACGCGAAGAAGAAGCACCGGCUAACUCCGUGCCAGCAGCCGCGGUAAUUG